ACAGGCCUUACUGACCGCAGAGCUCGUAAACAUUAUUUUGUAUGAUAUUUCCCAUUGUAAUCAGAUGGAAAAGAUAUCUUUGGAUUUGCCGAUUUUGAUCAAUUAACCUAGGAAUUAUACUGCGACAUGUAUUUUGUUGUUUUUUGGGAUGAAUGGUGCGCUACAAUAACGGCUUCUUGGCUUAUCUUGAAGUCUCAAGUUUUCAAAUGGCCACCCAAAAAUAAGAAUGCUACUAAUGAAAGUAAAAAAGGAACGAAGCCUCAAGAAAAGUGGAUAACAGUUCGAUAUUCCAAAUUGUUAGGACCUUUCGGUA
Long non-coding RNA from Formica exsecta, 313 nucleotides. RefSeq lists it as uncharacterized. Lineage: Eukaryota; Metazoa; Arthropoda; Insecta; Hymenoptera; Formicidae. The record is from RefSeq and is a predicted model, not a curated record. The transcript has 3 exons.